UCAGUUUUCCGAUUUUCUUUAUUAAGAUAAUUUUUAAUCAUUUUAUUAAUUUUUUUUUCUUGUGAUAUAACAUACGUCGGUUAUCAAUUAAAAUUUAUAUUUUUGAUCCUAAAUAAAUGAAGUGGUAAAGAUAUUUUUUUUUUCCGUCGGACAAUUCUAUCUUUUAUUAUUGUUCAUCUGGAAGAAAAUAUCAAUACCAUCUAGCAAAAUAAUCUGGAACGAAAAGAACUUGUAAAUCUCUACCAAGAAAAGAAAAAAAAAAUUGUUUUGGAAUGAAUCUGUUGCUUUUUCUCACGAUUUCAAAUAUUUCUAACGCGAAAUAUUUUGUGACGUAGUUUGUUUAACAUAUCAGUUUAUUGAAAUCUUCGGAACUUUUGCGUACCGUAUUUUAUAGUUCCCAAAACAUUCUAUUAAAUUAAACUAAAAUGUAUAAAAAUUUAAUCGAUAUAAUACUUGACAUAUAGAAUGUAAACACGUAUUUAUUUUUAUAACGAUCGACUUUCUUGGCUAACUUGAGUUGCAGACAUUAUUGGUUAUAUGUGUUGCGUGAUAAUAGCAUCGUCCUCCCCGAUAUAAAUGCUACGCUGAAUUCCAAUGGAUGGUUCAUUUUCUAUCCAGACACGUUUCUGUUGUGCUUCUUGCAAUUACUGCUUUUUCUGAAUAUCUAAAAAUUGCACAGUAAUAAUAUGUUUAAUUCCAAACGAAACUUUUGCAUACGUUUCAAUUAUAAAGCGUGAUGACAUUAUUCUACUCUUCUCAUAUCGUAAUUUUUAUCGAAGUGAAGCUCCAAGAUUGAUUUUUGCUGUGUUUCUAAGUGUUGAAAAACAAUUUUUUUUUUUUUAAAUACUAAUAUACGUAUAAAAGAAUAUUUAUUCUUUAGAGCGUAUUUUAAAUAUAACGUUAUGCAGAUGCAGCGAAAUAAUUCGAUUUAGGUUUUCUUAAAACUAUCUGAUGAUAAAUCUCUCAUUUAUAUAUAUAUAAAAUAGUAGGAAAUUCAAUUAUAUGGAAUCGUGGUUGUGAAAUGAUCCAGAUAAUCGAAAAGCACACAUAAUGGAAAAAUAAAAACAGAUUUAACCCGAAAAUGCUUUUUUUUCCCUCGUUUAAUUUAACAGUAUUAUAAAUCUCUUUUAAGAUGUAACACGAAAAUUUCACGGGUUAAUAGCUGUAAUAUAGUCAAAUAUUUCUCUACAUUAAUAUAUAAAACAGUUUAAAAUAUAAUAUUAGCCUAUAGGUGGAAUAUAAUGUUGUAUAUAUUAUUGAGUUCUCUUUUUUAAUAUUAUUUUCCAAUCGUCCACCAAUUAUUAAAUGAAAGAAUCAUUCCAGUCCUAUCAUGAGCUGCCCAUCCUAUGGAACAGCCUUUGGUAUCAUAUAGAACAGCAUAUAGAGAACGGGAACGGGAUGCGUCGCGAUCCGCACUGUAGCGAAGCGAAGCACAGUAUCUUUUUUUUUUUUUUGCAUACUUUAGGCCCUUUCCAAUCAGGAAGAUUACUAAGAGGCGGGGCCAGUUCCAACCAUGGGCUGCGCCCACACCCG
Molecule: long non-coding RNA, 1533 nt
Filed under: Androctonus crassicauda
Lineage: Eukaryota; Metazoa; Arthropoda; Arachnida; Scorpiones; Buthidae
Source: RNAcentral